Long non-coding RNA from Erinaceus europaeus (western European hedgehog), 808 nucleotides. RefSeq lists it as uncharacterized. The record is from RefSeq and is a predicted model, not a curated record. The transcript has 4 exons. NCBI's taxonomy places the organism in Eukaryota, Metazoa, Chordata, Mammalia, Eulipotyphla, Erinaceidae.
AGAUUGAAAGAGACAGAGGGAAAGAUACCACCACACUGAAGUUUCUUCUGGUGUGAGUAGGGCCUGUGUUAUCUGCAUAACAAAACAGGUACACUAUCCAGGUUUCCUUUACUGUUGAAAUAACUGGUGACAGGAACAAAGAGACACUUCCCUAGGUGGGGACCACGGCCUUGAACCUGGAUUCUUGCACUCAGUUUGAUGCACCCCUGCUCAGCUUCUGUGUUUAUCAUUCUAUAUAUCUGAAUGAAAAAAAUCACCCAAAACAAUGAAAUAUUGUAUGCACGAGACCCCAGUUCAACCAGUCAAUCAAACAAACAGAAAACCCAAAGGAAUCUCUACCUUCCAAUUUUGCUGUAAACCUAGAACUACAAAUGAAAAAAAAAAAAACAGAAAGAAAGAAAGAAGAAAGAAAGAAAGAAAGAAAGGAAAAAAGAAUACUUUCUUUUAAAAAAUUAAGUCAUUGGCAUCAAAAAACCAAAUAACUAAAGAAAAAACAAAUCUGAUUCAUGGUGAAUGCUCGCAUCCAGUCUCAUUCCCGUGAGCUCCAUUUAGAGUCUGCUUCCUGGGAACCCAAACUGGACAGCAACCCAGGUCUCAAGAAGGCAGACAAGUCCUUGGAAGCCCCAAGGGUCAUCCCUUGACAGAGGACCUGCUGGUUACCAGCCUGUGAGACCAACGGCAUCAGUCGCUGGCCUAGGACAAACACUGCAGUGUUUUUCUGUAGAAGCAACUGCAGGUAGAGCCCCAGUCAACUCUGGAGCCCCCCUCCCCCACCCGUCCCUGCUGUUUGUGCGUGCGCCUGUGUGUU